RNAcentral lists this long non-coding RNA (1022 nucleotides) under Equus caballus (horse). RNAcentral describes it as "lncRNA (ENSECAG00000056527.1)". Lineage: Eukaryota; Metazoa; Chordata; Mammalia; Perissodactyla; Equidae. The record is from RNAcentral.
CUGCCUCCCUGAGAUGUGUACAGAGCCUAUCAAGGUACUUUUGGAGGAGGCCAGUGGAGUAUGGAUUUUACCAAUGUCCAACGGUAAGAAAGCCACAUCUUCCCCAUGGUGUCAGUGAAGAUCAGGAGCUCAGCCCACCUCUUGGGAGUCCUUCAUUAUCCCCCUGUCUGGGCAGAACCCCUCUUCCCUUCACCAACCUCCACGAUGUACCCCAGCCCUAGACGAUCAAUACUCCUAUUUCCCCCACUCUCGGAAGAAGAAACUGAGGCACAGAUGACUGACUGAGACAUGAUUGGAGGAAAUGAGGAGAUCAGCCCAGUUGGAAUGGAAGACUUGUAUGUGGCAGGGGUGUUACUCUGAAAGCGUUUCCCAGUCAACUUCCUGCAGCAAAUCUCUGUCUCGAAGUCUGCUUCCCAUGGGCGUGACCUAUGACACUAACAAGUAUUUGACACUUUCAUAUUUUUUCUACUUGAAAUACAAAUCUCAUGUUCCCCUAAUCACUGGUGGCAUUGCUGAGACUAUUAUCUCAGCUCAGAGGCAUGAAACAGCACAGUUUUAUUUGCAAAUUGGUAGCUUGGAUAGACGAGGUCAGCCUGUGAGGGCCCGCGGUCAAGAAUGUGACCGGACAGGAGGCGGCUGGCAUAUACUGAAUAAGGUGGAUCAAAGGCCUAGUUCAACUGUCAGGGAGGCACAGGCAAGCAAUAUAGUCUGUGUCAGCUGGGGUCACACUGUGGAAAAUAUCUAAAUCAGGCUUUUGGAACCCAGUCCAGAAGACCGGUAGUCAGAAAAUUAAGAACCAAAGGGGCUGGUCAUCAGAUUUCCUGUGUGAAGAUACUGAGGUUGGCAUGCAAAAGGCAAUUAAUAAAUGCAAGCUCCCUAUUCCUGUUCCCACGUGGAUAUCUCAGAAACUCCCCAAUGCUUGGGAAUCUUCUCCAGAGCACAAUUUCCUCAAAGCAGCAGGAAAAAGUACUUUCUGUUUGUGGGUACUUUAGAGCAAAUAAAGCUAUUACAGAGGAUAAAAG